AGUUAAUUAGUUAAAUAUAAACUUAUAUCUUGAAAAUAUAAAAUAAAUAAUAAUUUAUUUAUUAACUU
RNAcentral lists this transfer RNA (68 nucleotides) under Orussus occidentalis. Its description in RNAcentral is "tRNA-Ser". Lineage: Eukaryota; Metazoa; Arthropoda; Insecta; Hymenoptera; Orussidae. The record is from RNAcentral.